This 492-nucleotide ribosomal RNA is filed under the name uncultured bacterium. RNAcentral describes it as "partial 16S ribosomal RNA". It matches the Rfam family "Bacterial small subunit ribosomal RNA", at positions 29 to 507 of the family's 1533-position model. The record is from RNAcentral.
AGUGAACGCUGGCGGUAGGCCUAACACAUGCAAGUCGAACGGUAGCACAGUAAGAGCUUGCUCUUACGGGUGGCGAGUGGCGGACGGGUGAGGAAUACAUCGGAAUCUACUUUUUCGUGGGGGAUAACGUAGGGAAACUUACGCUAAUACCGCAUACGACCUACGGGUGAAAGCAGGGGAUCUUCGGACCUUGCGCGAUUGAAUGAGCCGAUGUCGGAUUAGCUAGUUGGCGGGGUAAAGGCCCACCAAGGCGACGAUCCGUAGCUGGUCUGAGAGGAUGAUCAGCCACACUGGAACUGAGACACGGUCCAGACUCCUACGGGAGGCAGCAGUGGGGAAUAUUGGACAAUGGGCGCAAGCCUGCUCCAGCCAUACCGCGUGGGUGAAGAAGGCCUUCGGGUUGUAAAGCCCUUUUGUUGGGAAAGAAAAGCAGCAGGUUAAUACCCCGCUGUUCUGACGGUACCCAAAGAAUAAGCACCGGCUAACUUCGUG